Fragaria vesca subsp. vesca is the source of this 858-nucleotide RNA transcript. RefSeq lists it as uncharacterized. The record is from RefSeq and is a predicted model, not a curated record. NCBI's taxonomy places the organism in Eukaryota, Viridiplantae, Streptophyta, Magnoliopsida, Rosales, Rosaceae. The transcript has 5 exons.
AUCAUUGAUCGGUAUGUGAGACUGCGAUGGGCUCUCCCAAGUAAGGAUAUGAGCUCUUUACUUGAGGUCUAUUGAGAGAUCAGACUGCCAUGGGCUCUCAUUUCUUAUCCAAGUCAUAACGCAACAUGACCAUAAUGUUUUGAUGAAAUGCAUUCCACCUGAUGCUUGGGUAUCACACUUGAUGAUAUUUGCCUAAAUGAAUCAUGCCACAUGCUAUGUAGCUGAUGCUUCUCUCAAGCAAUGAGUACGUCUGUUGUUGCUGAAGACCCUCUCAUAUUAUGCACUGGAGUUCCUCAUAGACAAUCUAUCCCUCUUGGUCUCUGCACAAUGGAUGAUCCAUUACGAGCUCAUUCUUGCACCACUCUUCUUGAGCACUAUGGUUUGAAGGCUAGGAUCUGUAAUCAGCGUCACGCCUUAAAAACCAAUCUAAUUUUAUACAGACCUCACAUGCCAAUAAAUGUGGAGGAAACAGCUCUUUGAUAGAGAAAGAUGUUGGCCACUGAUGAGGGAACCAAACGAAUUGGGUGUCUCAAGAAAUAUCUGCAGCUUGCACAUUGAUGAUGGCAGCACACACGAUAUCGCAACAGAAUAUGCUGAUGAUACAAGGAAACCAAAUGAAUUGGGGUGUCUAUAUCAACACCUGCAAUAUGCACCUGGUGAUGGAAGCACAGAAACUACAUUGCAAUGGUCUGCGUCGCAAAUUCUCAAAGGAAUUUGAUGCCAUGGCCAUGGCAGACAUAAUCUAGCAUUUAUUUUUAUUUUUUUUAACAGAGAUGCUAUUGCAUUUGUUGACUUUGCAUUAACAAAUGCACCUGUGAUAUUGUUUUGUAUAUGUGCACAUUUCCCCAUUUUCUCACU